UGUAUCUGAAAUCAAGCAGGACCACCCGCUGAACUUAAGCAUAUCACUAAGCGGAGGAGAAGAAAUUAACUAAGAUUGCCUCAGUAACGGCGAGUGAAGCGGCAAAAGCCCAAAAUGGAAAUCUUGUGCACUACGUGUACACGAAUUGUAAUCUAGARAUGGUCCACUCACCGGGCGGUGGCGCAGAAGUGACCACGAACGGUCCGCCAAAGAGGGUGACAGCCCCGUAUGUGGUGCCGCUGCCUAACGAGUGGGUUGUCGAAGAGUCGGGUUGUUUUGUAUUGCAGCCCUAAGUGGGAGAUAAACUUCUUCUAAGGCUAAAUAUAUAUGGGAAACCGAUAGCGAACAAGUACUGUGAAGGAAAGAUGAAAAGAACUUUGAAAAGAGAGUCAAAMGACUUGAAAUCGUUGAGAAGGAAGGGGUAGAAGYUUAUUCUUCGGCGCAGGCCGGUGUUAGUCGCCUAACAAUUGCUGGCUUCGAGCACUUAACGGGCUCUGGUUGGUACAUUGGGAAGUGGCUGGCUUGGGCUGCGUCGUGAGGCAAGAUGGGGUCGUGCGGCCACAAAGGCUACCUACGACGGGUCUCCUUCGGGAGGCAACCGUGGGGGUGCCCGGUGGAAGUACNGCCUGAGGAAGCUUCGGCGAUCUUGCCAAAAUGGCUUUUACCCACCCGUCUUGAAACACGGACCAAGGAGUCUAACAUAUAUGCGAGUGUGCUGGUGGAGAAACCAACACGCGUAAUGAAGGUGAGUGAUGCCAAGCGCAAGCAGCAGCAUCGACCGACCAUGAUCCUCUGGUGAAAGGUUUGAGUACGAGCAUACAUGUUAGGACCCGAAAGAUGGUGAACUAUGCCUGAGUAGGGUGAAGCCAGGGGAAACUCUGGUGGAGGCUCGUAGCGGUACUGACGUGCAAAUCGUUCGUCAAACUUGGGUAUAGGGGCGAAAGACUAAUCGAACCAUCUAGUAGCUGGUUCCCUCCGAAGUUUCCCUCAGGAUAGCUGGGACAAAUACGCAGUUUUAUUAGGUAAAGCGAAUGAUUAGAGGCAUCGGGGGUAAUAUGCCCUCGACCUAUUCUCAAACUUUAAAUUGGUAAGAACCCUGGCCUUUCUUAAUUGAGGCACAGGGGCUCAAUGCGUGUCCCAAGUGGGCCAUUUUUGGUAAGCAGAACUGGCGAUGAGGGAUGCUCCUAACGUCGAGUUAAGGUGCCCAACUGCACGCUCAUCAGAAACUACAAAGGGUGUUGGUUCAUCCAGACAGCAGGACGGUGGCCAUGGAAGUCGGAACCCGCUAAGGAGUGUGUAACAACUCACCUGCCGAAUGGACUAGCCCCGAAAAUGGAUGGCGCUCAAGCGUGCGACCGAUACUCGACCAUU
This 1371-nucleotide ribosomal RNA is filed under the name Oxytricha sp. Steamboat Hot Springs. Its description in RNAcentral is "eukaryotic LSU rRNA". It matches the Rfam family "Eukaryotic large subunit ribosomal RNA", at positions 1 to 1356 of the family's 3401-position model. The record is from RNAcentral. Lineage: Eukaryota; Ciliophora; Spirotrichea; Sporadotrichida; Oxytrichidae.